This 113-nucleotide non-coding RNA is filed under the name Novibacillus thermophilus. RNAcentral's name for it is "SAM-I sequence". It matches the Rfam family "SAM riboswitch aptamer (S box leader)". From Rfam's summary of the family: The SAM riboswitch is found upstream of a number of genes which code for proteins involved in methionine or cysteine biosynthesis in Gram-positive bacteria. The SAM riboswitch acts at the level of transcription termination control. The predicted structure consists of a complex stem-loop region followed by a single stem loop terminator region. The record is from Rfam by way of RNAcentral. Lineage: Bacteria; Bacillati; Bacillota; Bacilli; Caryophanales; Thermoactinomycetaceae.
CUCUUAUACAGAGAGGGGGAGGGACUGGCCCUAUGAACCCUCGGCAACCAUUGAAUUGACUCAAACGGUGCCAAUUCCAGCAGAUCCUUGUGACAGGGUCUGAAAUAUAAGAG